RNAcentral lists this ribosomal RNA (192 nucleotides) under uncultured bacterium. RNAcentral describes it as "partial 16S ribosomal RNA". It matches the Rfam family "Bacterial small subunit ribosomal RNA", at positions 1309 to 1500 of the family's 1533-position model. The record is from RNAcentral.
AACCCGACUACAUGAAGCUGGAAUCGCUAGUAAUCGCGGAUCAGAAUGCCGCGGUGAAUACGUUCCCGGGUCUUGUACACACCGCCCGUCACACCAUGGGAGUCGGAAAUGCCCGAAGUCUGUGACCUAACCGAGAGGGAGGAGCAGCCGAAGGCAGGUCUGAUGACUGGGGUGAAGUCGUAACAAGGUACC